RNAcentral lists this ribosomal RNA (460 nucleotides) under uncultured bacterium. RNAcentral's name for it is "partial 16S ribosomal RNA". It matches the Rfam family "Bacterial small subunit ribosomal RNA", at positions 338 to 795 of the family's 1533-position model. The record is from RNAcentral.
CCUACGGGAGGCAGCAGUGAGGAAUAUUGGUCAAUGGACGAGAGUCUGAACCAGCCAAGUAGCGUGAAGGAUGACUGCACUAUGGGUUGUAAACUUCUUUUAUAUGGGAAUAAAAUGUUCCACGUUUGAGAUUUUGUAUGUACCAUAUGAAUAAGGAUCGGCUAACUCCGUGCCAGCAGCCGCGGUAAUACGGAGGAUCCGAGCGUUAUCCGGAUUUAUUGGGUUUAAAGGGAGCGUAGUGGGAUUGUUAAGCCAGUUGUGAAAGUUUGCGGCGCAACCGUAAAAGUGCAGUUAAAACUGGCAGUCUUGAGUACAGUAGAGGUAGGCGGAAUUCGUGGUGUAGCGGUGAAAUGCUUAGAUAUCACGAAGAACUCCGGUUGCGAAGGCAGCUCGCUGGACUGCCACUGACAUUGAUGCUCGAAAGUGUGGGUAUCAAACAGGAUUAGAUACCCGAGUAGUC